GACGAACGCUGGCGGCGUGCUUAACACAUGCAAGUCGAACGGAAAGGCCCUGCUUUUGUGGGGUGCUCGAGUGGCGAACGGGUGAGUAACACGUGAGUAACCUGCCCUUGACUUUGGGAUAACUUCAGGAAACUGGGGCUAAUACCGGAUAGGAGCUCCUGCUGCAUGGUGGGGGUUGGAAAGUUUCGGCGGUUGGGGAUGGACUCGCGGCUUAUCAGCUUGUUGGUGGGGUAGUGGCUUACCAAGGCUUUGACGGGUAGCCGGCCUGAGAGGGUGACCGGCCACAUUGGGACUGAGAUACGGCCCAGACUCCUACGGGAGGCAGCAGUGGGGAAUAUUGCACAAUGGGCGGAAGCCUGAUGCAGCAACGCCGCGUGCGGGAUGACGGCCUUCGGGUUGUAAACCGCUUUCGCCUGUGACGAAGCGUGAGUGACGGUAAUGGGUAAAGAAGCACCGGCUAACUACGUGCCAGCAGCCGCGGUGAUACGUAGGGUGCGAGCGUUGUCCGGAUUUAUUGGGCGUAAAGGGCUCGUAGGUGGUUGAUCGCGUCGGAAGUGUAAUCUUGGGGCUUAACCCUGAGCGUGCUUUCGAUACGGGUUGACUUGAGGAAGGUAGGGGAGAAUGGAAUUCCUGGUGGAGCGGUGGAAUGCGCAGAUAUCAGGAGGAACACCAGUGGCGAAGGCGGUUCUCUGGGCCUUUCCUGACGCUGAGGAGCGAAAGCGUGGGGAGCGAACAGGCUUAGAUACCCUGGUAGUCCACGCUGUAAACGGUGGGUACUAGGUGUGGGGUCCAUUCCACGGGUUCCGUGCCGUAGCUAACGCUUUAAGUACCCCGCCUGGGGAGUACGGCCGCAAGGCUAAAACUCAAAGGAAUUGACGGGGCCCCGCACAAGCGGCGGAGCAUGCGGAUUAAUUCGAUGCAACGCGUAGAACCUUACCUGGGUUUGACAUGGAUCGGGAGCGCUCAGAGAUGGGUGUGCCUCUUUUGGGGUCGGUUCACAGGUGGUGCAUGGCUGUCGUCAGCUCGUGUCGUGAGAUGUUGGGUUAAGUCCCGCAACGAGCGCAACCCUUGUUCACUGUUGCCAGCACGUUAUGGUGGGGACUCAGUGGAGACCGCCGAGGUCAACUCGGAGGAAGGUGGGGAUGACGUCAAGUCAUCAUGCCCCUUAUGUCCAGGGCUUCACGCAUGCUACAAUGGCUGGUACAGAGAGUGGCGAGCCUGUGAGGGUGAGCGAAUCUCGGAAAGCCGGUCUCAGUUCGGAUUGGGGUCUGCAACUCGACCUCAUGAAGUCGGAGUCGCUAGUAAUCGCAGAUCAGCAACGCUGCGGUGAAUACGUUCCCGGG
Molecule: ribosomal RNA, 1343 nt
Filed under: uncultured bacterium
Lineage: Bacteria
Description: 16S ribosomal RNA
Rfam family: Bacterial small subunit ribosomal RNA
Source: RNAcentral